UGGGAAGGCAAGCACACAGGUAAUCAUAUGUCAAGCAAGCAGUGUAUUCCCAAGGCAGUAACUUCCCUCAGAACUGAAGCCAGGGUCACAGGCAUCAAGCUCCUGUCUGAGACCUUUCAAAUGCUGCAGAAGAUGCUUCCUGCCCAAGAAAAAUUAGCUCAUCUCUCAGGAGGGACCAGACUGCAAGUUGUAGCACACAAACUGGGGCUUCUUUCGAGGCAGCUGAUGAAGGGAAGAAAGCCUAUCUUCAGGAUAUCAGAUCUUUUAAAUAGGGGUUAGCACCUCUGUUUCAUGAUUUUCUAUCAGAGAGAGUCUGAGAUCUGCUCCUUUGGAAAAAUAAUUUCUUACUGACCAGAGCAAGACAGUAAGUUCAACUAACAAAAUGAAAGCAUGAAGCCUGCAACCUGACUGGUGUACACAAUUUCUCUUCUUCUACAAGGUUAAAUGCACAAAAUGCAUAAAACCUGGAAACUUUUGCCUCAAAACCUCUCCUUCAGGGAUCUGCAGCCAUCUGAGCAUCUGAGAGCCCAGGGAUGUUUUGUGGCAGCCCCUUGCUGGGACUGCCCAGGAACCAGGAGACAGUGGUGAGUUUACAGACAACUUACAUCAUGUAAACUCAUCAUCAAAGCCCAUAAGAGUAAACUGGGAAGUUUCCAAUGGAAAUGAGCUAGUUUCCUAUGAAUAUUAAUCCUUUACAAGGUAUGGAUGAUAAUUACCAUAAUCCACAAGGAUAUUCUUAGAAGAUAUUGCAUCUCCAGGGUGAAAAGGUCUCAGCGGUGACACUGAAUUCUAACAGUUAUCAUAUUUGAUUUACCAGUGAUCAUUAAGGUUUACAUCAAAGGUCAGGAAUAACUCUGCUAUUUGUAAGCUGAGAAAAAGGUAUAAACACUUUAAUUUAUUGCCCUGUCACUGUCAAUUCACUUGGUAUUCGCUGUGAUAGUGCUGCUGUUAAUGAAUGUAUUUGGUAAUAGUGUGGAUGUCAUAGAUAUUUAUGCUCUCAUGGCUUUCAGUGGCUCAGCAGGUAAGGCAAGUCAGGAGCUUUGCCAUUUCACAUUUAUAAAUUAAAGAGGAAAAAUAAAUAAUAUUUUAUCUCAAAGAAGGACUUAACAAAUAUCUAUCACAUUCAGCUAUACCAAAGAGAGGUCUAUCUUAUCACAGAAAAAUCAGUACUGCAAAGAAAGUGAUAAGUGUCUGGGAUUGCUGGAAGCCCAAGA
Long non-coding RNA from Passer montanus (Eurasian tree sparrow), 1214 nucleotides. RefSeq lists it as uncharacterized. NCBI's taxonomy places the organism in Eukaryota, Metazoa, Chordata, Aves, Passeriformes, Passeridae. The transcript has 3 exons. The record is from RefSeq and is a predicted model, not a curated record.